GACGAACGCUGGCGGCGCGCCUAACACAUGCAAGUCGAGCGGAACAGGGACUUCGGUUCCUGUCCAGCGGCGGACGGGUGAGUAACGCGUGAGCAACCUGCCCUUCAGCGGGGAAUAGCGUCUGGAAACGGACGGUAAUACCGCAUAACGUGUCUGGGAGACAUCUUCCGGACACCAAAGGAGAAAUUCACUGAAGGAUGGGCUCGCGUCCGAUUAGGUAGUUGGUGAGGUAACGGCCCACCAAGCCCGCGAUCGGUAGCCGGACUGAGAGGUCGAUCGGCCACAUUGGGACUGAGACACGGCCCAGACUCCUACGGGAGGCAGCAGUGGGGGAUAUUGCACAAUGGAGGAAACUCUGAUGCAGCGACGCCGCGUGAGGGAAGAAGGUCUUCGGAUUGUAAACCUCUGUCUUUGGGGACGAAGAAAGUGACGGUACCCAAAGAGGAAGCCACGGCUAACUAC
This 462-nucleotide ribosomal RNA is filed under the name uncultured bacterium. RNAcentral describes it as "bacterial SSU rRNA". It matches the Rfam family "Bacterial small subunit ribosomal RNA", at positions 28 to 504 of the family's 1533-position model. The record is from RNAcentral.